Pimephales promelas (fathead minnow) is the source of this 375-nucleotide non-coding RNA. The record is from RefSeq and is a predicted model, not a curated record. NCBI's taxonomy places the organism in Eukaryota, Metazoa, Chordata, Actinopteri, Cypriniformes, Leuciscidae.
UAUUGCAUAAUGCUUGGCAAAAACUGUUUUAAAAGCCUCAAUUUGAACUCUUAUCCAAAAUCAAAUGCUGUGGAAUGUUUUACGUGUGUUUGUUUGAAAGAUCUUUUGUUUGUUUGUUUGUUUGUUUGUUUACGUAAAUGCAAUGGCUAAUUGGUUUAUUCUCUAACUGUACAGGAAACUCGUCCUCUGAACUGGAUUGUGAAUAAACAAAAAACUGGACUGUCAAAACUGACAAUGGCUUCCUUUCAUAAAGGUUUUAUAAAAGCUCAUCCUCUCAUCUCUGGGAUUCUGUAUGUCUUAAGACUGUACUUGGCCUCUUCAACUGUAACACCGGUGACGACUGCAGACCCCUGCAACAACUACACUGUGCUGGAC